CAGUAGCCACGGUAAUACGUAGGGUGCAAGCGUUAAUCGGAAUUACUGGGCGUAAAGCGUGCGCAGGCGGUUAUAUAAGUCAGUUGUGAAAUCCCUGGGCUCAACCUGGGAACUGCUUCUGAGACUGAACGACUAGAGUACGGUAGAGGGUGGUGGAAUUUCCGGUGUAGCGGUGAAAUGCGUAGAUAUCGGAAGGAACAUCAAUGGCGAAGGCAGCCACCUGGGCCUGUACUGACACUGAGACACGAAAGCGUGGGGAUCAAACAGGAUUAGAUACCCCCGUAGUCCCUGUCUCUUAUAC
This 301-nucleotide ribosomal RNA is filed under the name uncultured bacterium. RNAcentral describes it as "partial 16S ribosomal RNA". It matches the Rfam family "Bacterial small subunit ribosomal RNA", at positions 509 to 807 of the family's 1533-position model. The record is from RNAcentral.